GCCUGCUGGCCACCUACCCAGCUGACAUGGGGACCAUCGGAGCCAGGCAGCUGUGCUGGGCGAUCCUGGGCUUGCUCUUCCUCCAAGGACCCUGUAGCAGUUUAAGUCUGGUCACGGAGCCAACUUCUCCCAAUACAGGAGAAAAAUCUUCCUCCGAGUUUGGCAGCCCAAGGCUUCUUUUCAGCUCCAGUAUCCCAGCAACUUCGCAGAAGACCCCACAAAGCCCCCUGGGAUCCAGGAACCCUGUAACAGGGAGAUCAAGUGUCACAGAUGGGCACUCCUUUAAGAACCUGACUCAGGCCCAGGCACAGAAGCACACAGCGGAACUUAGUGAGUACCCAGGGUGGGAGGGGCAGGGGGUGAAGAA
RNAcentral lists this long non-coding RNA (367 nucleotides) under Marmota marmota marmota (Alpine marmot). Its description in RNAcentral is "lncRNA (ENSMMMG00000009961.1)". Lineage: Eukaryota; Metazoa; Chordata; Mammalia; Rodentia; Sciuridae. The record is from RNAcentral.